CUGCCAUGCUGGGACAGAUGCAGCUUGAGAGUAAUACAUAGGUUCAGAUUCCAAAGUGGAGGAAGAGGAACUAGAAAAUGCAGGCAGUUGACAGACAUAAUCCUUAAGGUAUGAAGGAGGAUUAUGCUGUCUAGUGGACUUUCUAGGUGUGGGAAGAGAAUGUGAAGGAGGUAACACAGGAGUAGAGAGAUCAGGAUUGAAAUAAGGGAGGGAAGAUGGACCAGCAUAAGCAAAAUGAGGUUCAGGAGAAUCAGAAGUAGAAGGAAGAACAGGAGAAUCAGGGGAAGUAAGUAUAGGAAAGUCUGAGGCAGUGAAAUCAUCAGCAGGAGGAAUCGACCAGCAUCAGGAAAAUCAGGUUCAGGAGAAUCAGAAGUAGAAGGAAGAACAGGAGAAUCAGGGGAAGUAAGUAUAGGGAAGUCUGAGGCAGUGAAAUCAUCAGCAGGAGGAAUAGAAGGAAAAUAUGAAGAAGAAGAAGAAGGGUGAGCAGAAGUAGGUUUAUUUUUAAAAGGGAAAUAAGUUUCAUGGAAGACAACAUCCCUUGAAACAAAACACUUCUUGGUAACCCAAUUAUACAGUUUAUAACCCUUCUUGGCAAAGGGGUAACCCAGAAACACGCAAGAGUGGGCUCUAGGUUUCAGCUUGUCCCUUUGAGUGAUAGGGACAGCAGCAUAAGCAAGGCAGCCAAAUGCCCUCAAAUGAGAAUAAGAUGGAGCUUUGCCAUACAAAAUUUCAUGGGGAGACUUAUGGUGAAGGAUUCUGGAAGGUAUUUUGUUAAGAAGAUAGGUGGCAGUUAACAGACAAUCCCCCCAGAAAGACACAGGUAGGACAGAUUGAAAAAGAAGGGAUCUAGAUGUUUCAAGGAGUGUUCUGUGUUUUCUUUCAACAACACCAUUCUGUUAAGGUGAAUGAGGGCAGGAGGUUUGAUGAAUAAUCCCCUGGCUACUAAAAAAGGAUAUGCCCUCAGUGCUGGAUCCCAGUUCUAAGGCAUUGUCACUUCUGACAGUCUGAACAACAGAGUUAAACUGAGUUUUAACAAAAGAGAUGAAAUACUUAAGCAGGGAAAAAGCAUUGCUUUUAGAUCCCAUUAAGUGUGUCCAGGUUGCCCUAGAAAUAUCAUCAACUAUAGUAAGGAAGUAUUUGUAACAAGAAGAAGUAGAAGUGUGGUAAGGCCCCCAAGUAUCCACGUGUAUUAAUUGAAAUGGUCUAGUGGUACUGAUACUGCUGUCAUGAAAAGGGAGUCUAGUCUGUUUCGCCAUAGGGCAGACAGAACAGGGAAAAGGUUGUUUAGAAGCAAGUGGAAAAGACAUACUAGAAAUAUGUCUCAUAUUUGCAAAAGGAGUAUGUGCUAGUCUUAAAUGCCAAAUGUAAUUCAUAUCAGUGGUAACAGCAUUAUUACAAAUGGAAUUGUUUACAAUUGGAGGUAAGCCAACAUUUUUGCUUUCAGACACAUUGUCAUCAUUACAAAAAUCAGACAAAGCACACACAGAAGUAAAAGGAGAACUAGGAGAGGAAGAAGGGGAAGGAGGCAUCCAAGACAGUUUGUAUAAGCCAGCUUCCUCUUUACCAAGAUCCAGAGGCCUCUUCAGAGAAGG
RNAcentral lists this long non-coding RNA (1592 nucleotides) under Nicotiana benthamiana. Its description in RNAcentral is "long non-coding RNA (NBEN_LNC017320)". Lineage: Eukaryota; Viridiplantae; Streptophyta; Magnoliopsida; Solanales; Solanaceae. The record is from RNAcentral.